Long non-coding RNA from Pipra filicauda (Wire-tailed manakin), 777 nucleotides. RefSeq lists it as uncharacterized. The record is from RefSeq and is a predicted model, not a curated record. The transcript has 3 exons. NCBI's taxonomy places the organism in Eukaryota, Metazoa, Chordata, Aves, Passeriformes, Pipridae.
CAGCAACUGCCUUCAGGAUUUAAGGAGAAAAACCAGUGUACUGCUUUGAGAACUGGUGAAAGAAAUGGAAGAGGCCGGCUCAGCUAUCCUCUGAUCCAAGAGCAGUGAAUGUCAUGGGUGGUCUCCUGUCUUCUCUUCCUCAUCCCCUUCUUUCCUGGGAGCUGCUGGAUUCACCUGUCCCUUCAAGGACCACAGAAGAGCAAAAUGUGUAGCACCCCACAGAUUUCAGGAAGUAUCAGGCUGCCUCUGAAGCUCAGCCACUGAAGACACAUUGAGGGGGACACCCAACAUGUGAAGGGAAGAGUGAAAGGGGGUUCCUGCAGCACCAGGACCAGAGCCUUGUCUUCAUGCAUCUUGCGAGUAGAUGGCAGGAUACCAUUGACUGUGUGCUGUAUGAAGUGUCAGAGUACUUUGUUUGGGUAAACAUUGCUAUAAUGUAAACAGCUCUCUGUCCCGGAAGAGGAGAUGUUUUGCAAGCAUAGCUGUUUUUCAACCCAUCUCUUUAAGUGGAUGUCCAAGCUAUGAGGAGAAAAACAAAAUGCACAAAAGAAAAAACCAAGAGAGAAUUUGAGCAGGUGCAUAUCUGCCUCUGUUCUUGGUAAUCGCUUUAAGACGUUAAUGAAGUGAUUCUUGUAUUUCAAGGAAAACAUGUUCUUCGUAUUUUUGCUAUAUAAAACAAUGCACAACAUGAGAGAAAAUGUAAUCAAUUAUGUCUCACUCUGCCUUAACAAAAAAUUGCUUAGUGUUGUCUCUAAUAAACCUAAAAAUGAGGAAUGA